AGCAGCCGCGGUAAUUCCAGCUCCAAUAGCGUAUAUUAAAGUUGUUGCAGUUAAAAAGCUCGUAGUUGAAUUUCGGAAUCAAUUUGUUGGUCGUGCCUCGGUACGUACUGGUAUUAUUGGUUUCUACCUUCUGAAGAAUCUUGAUGUCAUUAAUUUGGUGUCUUGGGGAAUCAGGACUGUUACUUUGAAAAAAUUAGAGUGUUUAAAGCAAGCAUACGCUUGAAUACAUUAGCAUGGAAUAAUGAAAUAGGACGUUUGAUUCUAUUUUGUUGGUUUCUAGGAUCGACGUAAUGAUUAAUAGGGAUAGUUGGGGGCAUUAGUAUUCAAUUGUCAGAGGUGAAAUUCUUGGAUUUAUUGAAGACUAACUACUGCGAAAGCAUUUGCCAAGGAUGUUUUCAUUAAUCAAGAACGAAAGUUAGGGGAUCGAAGACGAUCAGAUACCGUCGUAGUCUUAACCAUAAACUAUGCCGACUAGGGAUCGGAUGAUGUUAAUUUUUAAUGACUCAUUCGGCGCCUUACG
This 520-nucleotide ribosomal RNA is filed under the name uncultured Glomus. RNAcentral's name for it is "SSU rRNA". It matches the Rfam family "Eukaryotic small subunit ribosomal RNA", at positions 569 to 1092 of the family's 1831-position model. Lineage: Eukaryota; Fungi; Glomeromycota; Glomeromycetes; Glomerales; Glomeraceae. The record is from RNAcentral.